This 450-nucleotide ribosomal RNA is filed under the name uncultured bacterium. RNAcentral describes it as "partial 16S ribosomal RNA". It matches the Rfam family "Bacterial small subunit ribosomal RNA", at positions 354 to 796 of the family's 1533-position model. The record is from RNAcentral.
GUGGGGAAUUUUGGACAAUGGGCGAAAGCCUGAUCCAGCCAUGCCGCGUGCAGGAUGAAGGCCUUCGGGUUGUAAACUGCUUUUGUACGGAACGAAAAGACUCCUUCUAAUAAAGGGGGUCCAUGACGGUACCGUAAGAAUAAGCACCGGCUAACUACGUGCCAGCAGCCGCGGUAAUACGUAGGGUGCAAGCGUUAAUCGGAAUUACUGGGCGUAAAGCGUGCGCAGGCGGUGAUGUAAGACAGAUGUGAAAUCCCCGGGCUCAACCUGGGAACUGCAUUUGUGACUGCAUUGCUGGAGUGCGGCAGAGGGGGAUGUAAUUCCGCGUGUAGCAGUGAAAUGCGUAGAUAUGCGGAGGAACACCGAUGGCGAAGGCAAUCCCCUGGGCCUGCACUGACGCUCAUGCACGAAAGCGUGGGGAGCAAACAGGAUUAGAUACCCCUGUAGUCC